Molecule: unclassified non-coding RNA, 2427 nt
Filed under: Hevea brasiliensis (rubber tree)
Lineage: Eukaryota; Viridiplantae; Streptophyta; Magnoliopsida; Malpighiales; Euphorbiaceae
Source: RNAcentral
GUAUUUUUACAGCUUAGUUUGUUAACCUUUGGCCUGCAGCAGGGUUGCAAAAAAGCUGGUUUUAUAAAAUAGGAGUUCAAAUUCACAUAAUGAGAUAGAGGAGGAGACGAAGGUUUCGCUUCCUGAUGACUGGUAAUGAUGAAGGAGAAGGAGAGGAGCUUACUCUGUAUCACCAAGGAAUAAAAAUAAGUAUUAUUAGCGAAAUUGGAAUUUGAAUCUACACAGAAAUACUGUACUAGCUGUAAUGAUUCGGAUAAACAAUCUUCAAAGUAUUAGUUGCUGGAAUCUCAAAUGAAAAAUUCAAGCAUGUUUAUGAACCAUGCUAGUUCCUCUCUCACGAUUCCUGAAACCCAUAGUAACCCCAAGUUCCUGCUUCUUCAGCAAAAGCUUUAACUUAUGGGCUUCAGCCAUCAAGAAUGCCUCCUUCCCGCACUAAGCUUUGUACCUCUGCUCUCAAAUGCACCGCGCCUCCAUCCCUUUCGAUAGCUUCUCUAUUCUCUUCACCCUCAAAUCUUGUACCCGUUUGCAGAACUUCACCAUCAUUUGCCAUCUGCAUUCUCAUAUAAUCAAACUGGGAUUCAUCACUCACGUCUGUGUUGCCACUUCUCUGCUCCAUGUUUAUGUCGUCACAUCUUUUGGUAAUGUGUGUCUCUUGUUCGAUGAAAUGCCUGAAAGAAACACUAUUACAUGGAAUACAAUGAUUACAGGGUAUUCAAGGUCAGGGAAUAUCAACAAUGUACUCGCCCUUUUUGAGGAAAUGCCAUCGAGGGAUGUGGCUUCUUUGUCUGCCAUGAACUUAGCCUACUUUUACCAUGGGUAUUGGGAUAAAGGGUUAUCGUUAUUUCAAGAAAUGAUGUCAAGUGGGGAACCAAAACCGGACCAAGUGACCGUGGGAACUGUUUUAUCAAGUUAGGCACAUUGGGGUUCUCUUGCAUUGCUGGUUGGGAAAUCGGUUCGUGGCUUUACUGUUAAGAAUGGGUGGGAACUGAAUGUUGAAAUUGGCACAAUUCUGGUUGACAUGUAUGCUUAGUGUGGACACAUGAAGAAUGCUUGCCUGGUUUUUGAUUUGAUGCGUAUAUAUAUAUAUAUAUAUACAGCACAGCAUGGCUUUAGUCAAGAAACGUUGAUGUUGUUUAAGAAGAUGCAACAGGCAGAUAUUAGACCUAAUGAGCUGACUAUCACGGGUAUUCUCAAUGCCUGUGCUCAUUCAGGACUGGUUGAAGAGGGAAGAAAGUAUUUCAGGAUGAUUGAAGAGUAUGGUUUGGAGCACAGAAUUCAGCAUUAUGGAUGCAUGGUUGAUCUGUUUGGUAAGGCAGGGUUGUUAGAAGAAGCUUAUGAGGUUAUUAAGAUGAUGAAGUUCGAGACUAAUAUUGUUAUCUGGGGUUCCUUCUUGUCAGCCUCCAAGGAGCAUAAACAGUUUGACAUGGCUGAAAGAGUGAUUGAACAGAUCUUGAGUGUAAUAAAGCCAGAGAAUGAUGGAGGUAUUUACACUCUUAUCUGUGAUUUGUAUGCUUUAAAUGAGAAAUGGGAUGAUGCAGAGAGGGUGAGGAAAUUAAUGCUUAACCAAAAUGUGAGAAAAGCCAGAGGCUUUAGUUUUGUCAGAAGUUGAUUAUAGGGCGCCCAUUCAUCGGUCAUCUGCAACUUUUGAUUCUUUAGCUUCUAUAGUUUUGAACGUUGAUCUUUCUGUAGGUAAUAAUGGCAUAUUUAUCUGUUUUGAUAGCUUUAGUUUUGUUAAACUCUUAUGAUUCUUUGUUUAAGAAAAAGUAAUGAGAUAAAGAGCCAGAAGAGCAAGAACAAUGAAUGCAAGAGGAAAUUUAGCUGCUGCUACCCUGUAUCGAUGCUUAAACUGAUCUUUUAUUUUAUUUGCUAAUUAUAAUUUCAGAGGGAAAAGGGGGAACUGGAACACUUUGGGAAUCCAUUUCUUGACCAUUCAUGUUGUCAUAAUAUUAGAUCCACACUAGAUACAAACAUAAAUAGCAAAUAAAGUUAAAGAAUUAUACCAUGGACAAAGAAUUCAAUGCUAUUUUUCAGUAUUCCCUUCUUGAAUGUAGGCAGACUGUAACAGAGAAGGCAAAACAAGAGGAGAAAGUAGAGGAAUAGGGUCUUUACUAUGGUAGAAUGAAUUAAAUGAAGGAGCUUCCAUGAGUGGUGGCGAUGACGAUGAUGAUGAGGAUGAUGCUACAGUUGCUUGAGGUGCAACAUGUCUUUCAACAAAGGCAGUUAGCUUAAUAUGCAGAGGACAGGGAGCUCGCCUUUGCAAGUGGUUCAAUGGCUUUCUGUAUUCAUCUUUGUGAAUACAAGUUUGGAAACCAGGAACACCAGAAUCCUCCUUUUCGUUUGUCUAUCUCUUUAAUCUUUUAGAUCUCUUAAUCCAUGUAUGCUCUCAUCUCUUUAAUCUUUUAGAUCUCUUAAUCCAUGUAUGCUCUC